CCUACGGGGGGCUGCAGUGGGGAAUAUUGCACAAUGGGGGAAACCCUGAUGCAGCGACGCCGCGUGAACGAAGAAGGUAUUCGUAUCGUAAAGUUCUGUCCUAUGGGAAGAUAAUGACAGUACCAUAGAAGAAAGCUCCGGCUAAAUACGUGCCAGCAGCCGCGGUAAUACGUAUGGAGCGAGCGUUGUCCGGAAUUAUUGGGCGUAAAGGGUACGCAGGCGGUUUAAUAAGUCGAAUGUUAAAGAUCGGGGCUCAACCCCGUAAAGCAUUGGAAACUUAUAAACUUGAGUAGUGGAGAGGAAAGUGGAAUUCCUAGUGUAGUGGUUAAAUACGUAGAUAUUAGGAGGAAUACCGGUAGCGAAGGCGACUUUCUGGACACAAACUGACGCUGAGGUACGAAAGCGUGGGGAGCAAACAGGAUUAGAUACCCUUGUAGUC
This 439-nucleotide ribosomal RNA is filed under the name uncultured Finegoldia sp. RNAcentral describes it as "bacterial SSU rRNA". It matches the Rfam family "Bacterial small subunit ribosomal RNA", at positions 338 to 795 of the family's 1533-position model. Lineage: Bacteria; Bacillati; Bacillota; Tissierellia; Tissierellales; Peptoniphilaceae. The record is from RNAcentral.